This 922-nucleotide unclassified non-coding RNA is filed under the name Hevea brasiliensis (rubber tree). The record is from RNAcentral. Lineage: Eukaryota; Viridiplantae; Streptophyta; Magnoliopsida; Malpighiales; Euphorbiaceae.
GCGGACAUGCUAAUUCAGGACAAGGGCGUAAUCGUGUAAGAGGAGGAGCUCAUUGUCGCGUCCGUGGAGGCAAAUCUCAGAGAAAAGUCAAUGCAUCCAGAUCUGACUCUGCGCAGAGAAGUUCAACAAAGAACAGUGACAGACUAGGCCACCUUCCUGCCUGGAAAGGUCAAGACCGCGGCAAAGGAAGACGUAAAAGAGGUCGUCGCUCAGUUCGUAAUAGACAAAAGCCAGUCAAGAAUGUGGAAGAAGUUUCGCCCGAAGAAGUGCCCAUCACCAGUCAGCAAGAUUGGAAUGAUGUUGAAGAUGAAGAAACACCUCAAUUUGAGGCGCCUGAUAACGACAGUGAUUCUGGAACAUCAGGAAGUGAAGAUUAUAAAGGCCAAACAACCGUCAAUGAUUAUGAAGACUUAAUGGUUGCUGACUACGGUUCUUUCAGUGGUAGAAAUGAUCACGCAUCAACCAGUGUGAGUUACAACAUCAGCCAACGUUAUACUGAAACUGCUGAAGAUGGUAUUGGUGAUUACGAGGAUGACCAUGAUGAAGAGGACGAGGAAGAUGGAUUGGCCAAUAAAAACGUCCAAAGAUACUUUGAUGGCGAGUCCGAUGAUGAGGGGGACAGAUUUAUGGAUGAAGAUCUUGUUGAAACCCCAAAUAAAGAUUCAGAAUCAUCAUCCGAGUAUAGUGAUUGACAACAGUUAUUGAACCCAAAGGUAUUUUCUUCUCAUGAGCGCGAAAGGCGUCUUUCAAUCAGUGCUCGCGUUGACACAGUUGAAGAGCGCCAAUGUUUGUUAUGAAAGGAUCAUUAGUUCUAAUUCUAACUGUUUAUAGUUAGCAUCCAGCUUGAAAAUAGUACAGUGCUUCUUCUCUUUACACUUAACAUAUGUAUUACUAUUACAUGGCAAGUAACUUAAUGUGGUAA